GAGACUGAUGUGGAGAUAUAUAAAUAAACGAAGUGCCGUGAUAAAAGCAAACACAGCAAUAAAACAAAAAUGGCUGGGCAUGGUGGCCCAUGCCUGUAAUCCCAACACUUUGGGAGGCCGAAGCGGGUGGAUCACCUGAGGUCAGGAGUUCCAGACAAGCCUGGCAAAACCCCGUCUCUACUAAAAAUACAAAAAUUAGCCGGCGUGGUGGCACACGCCUGUAGUCUCAGCUAGUCAGGAGGCUAAGGCAGGAGAAUCAUUUGAACCUGGGAGGCGGAGGUUGCAGUGAGUCGCAAACGCACCACUGCACUCCAGCCUGGGUGACAGAGCGAGACUCUGUCUCAAAACAAAACAAAACAAAACAAAAAACCUAACAAAAACAAUAGCUACCGUUUACUAGACACUCACUACAUACCAGGCACUGUGCCAAACAGCUCCUUCUUAUCAGCUCAGGGUGCUGGGGGUGCCAGGGAGGGAAGGUCAGUGAAACUGUGGCAGGUGUCGGUUAAGCAAAAGAAGGCUGGCAUCGGUGCAGCUGGGGGCAGGCCUUACCUCCUCCAACCCCCUUGGCCAGGAGCAUCACAGGGCAGGCCUGAGCUUCCACAAGGUGGCAGCCUUGUGCUUUGUUCUGGUGCUGGGCUCCCUCGUGCCCUGCCUUCCCGAGUUCUCCUCCGGCUCCCAGACUGUGAAGGAAGACCCCCUGGCCGCAGACAGCGUCUACGCGGCCAGCCAGAUGCCCUCCCGAAGCCUCCUAUUCUACGAUGACGGGG
Molecule: small RNA, 770 nt
Filed under: Pan troglodytes (chimpanzee)
Lineage: Eukaryota; Metazoa; Chordata; Mammalia; Primates; Hominidae
Description: processed transcript
Source: RNAcentral